RNAcentral lists this ribosomal RNA (746 nucleotides) under uncultured Parvimonas sp. RNAcentral's name for it is "bacterial SSU rRNA". It matches the Rfam family "Bacterial small subunit ribosomal RNA", at positions 28 to 776 of the family's 1533-position model. Lineage: Bacteria; Bacillati; Bacillota; Tissierellia; Tissierellales; Peptoniphilaceae. The record is from RNAcentral.
GACGAACGCAGGCGGCGUGCUUAACACAUGCAAGUCGAACGUGCUUUUUGUGGAAAUUCUCUCGGGAAUGGAAAUGAAAUGAAAGUGGCGAACGGGUGAGUAACACGUGAGCAACCUACCUUACACAGGGGGAUAGCCGUUGGAAACGACGAUUAAUACCGCAUGAGACCACAGAAUCGCAUGACAUAGGGGUCAAAGAUUUAUCGGUGUAAGAAGGGCUCGCGUCUGAUUAGCUAGUUGGAAGGGUAAAGGCCUACCAAGGCGACGAUCAGUAGCCGGUCUGAGAGGAUGAACGGCCACAUUGGAACUGAGACACGGUCCAAACUCCUACGGGAGGCAGCAGUGGGGAAUAUUGCACAAUGGGGGGAACCCUGAUGCAGCGACGCCGCGUGAGCGAAGAAGGUUUUCGAAUCGUAAAGCUCUGUCCUAUGAGAAGAUAAUGACGGUAUCAUAGGAGGAAGCCCCGGCUAAAUACGUGCCAGCAGCCGCGGUAAUACGUAUGGGGCGAGCGUUGUCCGGAAUUAUUGGGCGUAAAGGGUACGUAGGCGGUUUUUUAAGUCAGGUGUGAAAGCGUGAGGCUUAACCUCAUUAAGCACUUGAAACUGGAAGACUUGAGUGAAGGAGAGGAAAGUGGAAUUCCUAGUGUAGCGGUGAAAUGCGUAGAUAUUAGGAGGAAUACCGGUGGCGAAGGCGACUUUCUGGACUUUUACUGACGCUCAGGUACGAAAGCGUGGGGAGCAAACAGG